UGUAAGAGUCAACUAGAGACUGACUUCAGCUCAAACAAGUCAUCGAUGUGAAGGCUGAUAUUUUCUUCUGGAAGUUCUGCCUUCAGAGGAUGGAACUGCCAGUACAACAUAUGUAUGCAUCCUGAAAUCUCAAAAUCAGCGAAAGCUAGCGUGCCCAUUGGAUGCUGGGUGCAUGCAGUGAGAUGCUUGGCUGGUUCCUGACUUUCAGGAUAAAUACACAAUGGGAUGAAACCGACUUUCUUCCAGAAUAUACAAGUGACACUGCCAUUCAUCUUCAAAACAGAAACAUAAUUGGGUGAAGCCAGAAUGUCAAAGCAAGGGAACUGCCAGACAAAGCAAAGAAAAUGAAGAUUUCUGUCUUGGGAAUUGAACCUUCAGUGUCUUCUUGUAUAAGAUUAUGAAAGUGAGAAAUAACCACGGUCUCGAUGUGUAAGUUUCUCACAACUUGCUUAGACUGAAGGGCAGCCCCACAGCUCCCACAGUACUCAGCUGGAUGUUCUCUGGAGGGCAGCAGAAGAGCUGCGGUGGAAACACCCACCACGUUUUCAGCAUGCACUGCUUCACUAGUAACCAAAUGGUGAGAACUGACCAAUUCUCUCAUGAACCUUUUAGAGAAAAUGCUAAGUGUCCAAGGAAACCGUGGUGGACUCUGAGUGUUCUGGCUGUGGCAAGUUCCCUGCAAGGCAAAACACUUAGGAAAUCCUCCAAAAGGAGUUGUGUCUUCUGUUUAUUCACAUUUUGCUGAAUCCUAUCACAACUGUUGUGGUUUUUUUGUUUUUUUUUUGAAUGGCCCCAUUUUUGCUGCCAGGUGCCUGGUGCCCGUGUUCGGCUGGCUCGCAGCCCUGCCAGCCUGCAGCGACUGGCACCUCUGCACCUCCCCUGGUGCGGUGACCAGGCUGGUGGUGGGCACCCGGCACACGCCAGAGGCUACAGGGCUGCCUCUUCCCGCUGCCCUCCUGCCGCUGGCACACACAUGAAGCAGGCAUCGGUGUCUCCCUUACUUUUUCCCUCAUGUCAUCUUGUAGUGUUUAUCUAGCGAGCAGGAGUAACCUUAAAAAUAACCCUUGGGAAGGCAUCUAACAGCAUCUGCUUUCUGUCUUUAACCUCAGGCAGACUGUUGUCAGCAAGAGACAUAUUCUUAAUGAUUUUUUUCCCCCCCAUACCAGCUUUUUUCUAUCAGAUAGCACUGUUCUGAGACCAAGAGACACAGGAUGUAUUCCCAGCUUUGAUGUUUAUAAGCACCUCUCUUUAUCCCUUUGCAGCCCUCCCACCAUCCACCUGGCACUUCAGCCACCUCCUGUCUCGGGCAGUGAUGGUGCCUCACUGUGCACUUUGACCACUCCCCAAGUCUCAUCUGUGUCAUGCAAAAGAGAAAUAAUAAAACUAAAGGCAGAUUGCUGAUAACACCAAUCUCAAUAUUUCUUCAAAACAUCCUGCUGAAAAGUCCUAGUAUGAGGCCAGAGGGGAAGAUAGCCAAAAGCACAGGCUUUAUUUUACCCAGAAUUAAGGUGAUGUGUGUGCAAGUGCACUGCGACUGCCAGGCAGAAUUUAGCUCCAAGGAAACUUCUGAUACUUUAAAAAGUAUUUUCAAACCAAACUGGACAAAAGGUUACAUUUUGAGAACCUUGCACUAAAAAGCUCCCCUGAUUUGGAACUGCUGCUCUUUUGGUCAUGUCUGAUCAUUUUCAAGAGUGUAAAAGAGACUUCUUGCAGGGAAAGAGAACAGAUAUCUUUUUGGAAUAGGGUCAAAAAAUUGUGAUACAAAUAUCAAAUAACAUCCAUUAUUAAGUAGACUAUAUAAAUAGCAAUUACUGCUAAGUUCUCUGAAUCAAGAAAUCAUUGAAUAAUUUAGCUUAGAAGGAACCACUGGGAGGGUUAAGUAGUCCAACCUACUGCUCAGAGCAGGGCUAGCUUCAAAGAGCAAUCUGAUGGCAGAAGGCUCGUCCAGCCAAGCACUGAAUGCUUCCAACCACAGAGACCCCACAGCCUCUUUAGACAACCAUUGCAGUGCUUAAUAUUUUGUGGUGGUUGGUUGGUUGGUUGUUUUUUAAGAUCUCCUUAUACCCGGCUCUUGCUGUGACUUCUGAAGAUUUCCCCGCUCUUUCGCUACCCUCCUUUGAGGAGGGUCUGGCUCUGACAUCCCUGUAACCCCUCUUGGUGGUUGAAGACUGCAGCUGGUGGCCCUUUUUCCUUCUCAUUUCAAGGUGGAACAACCCCAGCUCCAUCAGCCCCUCCUGUACACUAUGCGCUCCAGCCCUUGAGCACAGGAUAUCGAUUCUUGAGGGUAUCAAUAUCUCUCCCCUAGUGAGGGACAGGUUUUAGGAAACUCCAUGAGUGCUGUGGCCUCCCAGGUGCCCAGCGGAGGGAAAUCAUUCCCAAUGUGCUGGUUACCCUCCUGCUAUAGCUGCCUGGGAUGAGGCUGUGGGACUUGCAUUUGCCUCUGCUGAGCUCCUUGAGGCUCCUCCAGCUCCAUCCUUGAAGCCGUCCGUGUUCCCAAAGCAGCAGCCCUGCCCUCUGAUAGAUCUCUCUGCCCUGCAAUUUGUGUCACCUACAAAGCUGCUCAGGGUGCAGUUAUUCUGGCUAUUUGAUGGAGACGCAUUAGCCCCUGUAUUGACUUCUGAGGAUGCUGCUUGUAACAGGCCACUGAUUUGAACCACUGCCCCCUUGAACCCAGCAGUCCAGUCCAGUUUUUUAUCCAUGCCUAGAGAGAAUUAAUCAUACUUAAGUAUAAUUAAAAAUCAAAGCAAAUGGAGUCAAAAUGGGAAUGCUAGUAUGUUUUCCAGUAUUGAAAUGGUGUCUGAUCCUUCUUUGAAAUUAGUAUAAGUUAUUUUGAUAUAUUUAUCUUUUCUUUCCCUGCUUUUCAUUUUAAAUUAGGAGAUUCUUUCUAAAUUAUUGCAAUUUUUAAGUAAAAUGAAGUGGGCAGUGUUUCAACUUGUUCUUAAAGUAGUAUCAAGAUAUAAGAUCUAAAAUCAAGAUAUAAGAAUAUUCUUUUUAAAAUGUAAAAGGUGACUCUCAGGAUUAUUAUUAUUUUUUUAAAGCAAAAAGCUAGAUAUUGCUGCCAGCAUAAAGCUGAAAUUAUCAAUGCCAAAGAAUAAUAGUCUAUUACUCGGUUUCCUCCUUUUAUUAGCUUGCGUGAGUAUUGUGACUGCCAUAGAGUAUCUGUUCUGCUGAGAAUGUGUUUGACAGCAGCCAGACAGGUUCCGUCUACAGAGCCGGCACCAGGCUGGUAUCUGAGCUGCUGCUGCUGCUUGAAAUUCGACAAGGCAUUUCUCCAAAGCUAGUCCAAAGGUGGUAAUAGCCAAGAUUUAUCUUGGUAAUUUUGGUCUUGGCCCAUUGGAAAUGUUUUUUAGCCUUCAGACAUGCUGCUGGUCAAAGCUUUCCAAUGGGAUGUGAGCCAUAGACUUUCUCAGUCGUCGUAGCUGAGUUAUUUUGCUACUCAGCUAUGCAGAAGCAGCAGGCCUUUAGGCUAAUUAAUAAAUCAUCAACGCAUUUGUGGUGUGAAAAAUGAAAUAUUUAUGCUUGCCAGAGUAAUAUUUCUGUCUUGCAGCCCCAUGCUCUGUUGAUGCCUGAUGGAGGAUGAAGUAAAUACCAGCUGGUGUAGAAUGAGCAGAAUAUAAUUACUUUCUACAAAGUUAACUGAAUAUUAAAAAUAGAAGUCAGAGAAGCUGGCAAAAAGAGAAAUAUAUAUAUAUAUAUACAUUGCCUGAAAGGCAGGGCAUAGCCAGUACAUGAAGGGAACACUUUCCUAACUAGUGCUGUGGGGAUAGAGAACCUGCAGGAUCCAUAUUGUGUACAAAUGUGUCACACCGAGGUCUUUUUACAGAGCAGUUAGUGACCAGCUGGAGUAGUUAAAAGGCCUGAAGGGAAGCCAAGGAUGCUCUAAUGUUCCAGUCGGUCAUCAUUAGGGGACCAGUGAAGGACUUAAAGCAUCAGAUGUUGUUGCUUUUCUAAAAUGUGUCCACUAUUAAAAAAAAAAAACAACUUCUAGGUUUUAAGGCGAGCAGGAGUUAGUUUUGCUCUUUAUGUUCUGACACAAUAGUAGAUUUAAGGGAGCUGUGCUGGGUGUGAUUUUUGCAAUCACUGCCCCAGUCCUUCACCAUGGAGUGAAUGUACGAGCAACAGGCCAAUCAAACAGCUUGAAGAAAAACAUUCUCAUGUAGCAGAGGGAGGAUUUAACCCCUUAUUUGAAGUGGAGACUCUUUACAAUAAUCAGCUAAGAGCAAUCUACACAAGAGGCUCAUUUUACAUGCUGGCAGUUACAAUCAGGGGAAUUGAAAGAGCAAGCCAUCUACAAAAGCUAUCCAGACAGGGGGAGGGGUGACAUUGUGCAGGUCAGACAUCAGCCUUCCCCCCCCCAACCCCCCCCGGCCCCGUUCAAAUUUCAGACUUUUUUUCCUGGAAAAUGUAUUCUGAUUCUUUCCCUUAGGCCUGUGUGCACAGUCUGAGGAUCUGAUGAAAGCCAAAUGACCAAAAUCCAGGAAGAGCGCUCAGUUCAUGGAUUUUUUCAUUUGCUUUCAUAGAUAUGAGAGAUUGUGUUGUUCAGGUGUUCAAGGUAAGUUGAGCAAAUGAGCUUCUGAGGCUGAGCCAAACCUCCAUGCCAGACCCUUCAGGCUGGUAGCACGUGCUAUUAUAUGUGUUCAUGUUCACUGAUUUAUGUUAGAGCCAAUAGGGAAGGACAGACUUCUAACCUGGAUCAUUGGUCUGUCUUGCAGUGGAGCAUUUAUCUUAAAAUGGAAAAGGAACAUACUAUUCCCAUCUGGUCUUGAUGUUUCUGAAGUCAGGCAAGUUUGCAUACAAACAGUGGUCAGUUCAUCAAACUGUUACUCCUACAUAACAAGCAUAACAUGGGGAGCAUUUGAUAUCACAAGAAAUAAUAAAGGUUAACUAUUUGUGUCUUUUCUGUGUUUGCUGUGGAAUAUGCUUACAGCAGUAAUGUUACUCUUUAGUAGUACAGGUGCCCUUGACAUAAUCUCAGGACUAUGUCAUCACAGAGUCAUGGAAUGGUUGGGGUGGCAGGGACCUCUGGAGGCCACCCAGGCCUACCCCUGCUCAAGCAGGGCCACCAUGUCCAGGCAGCUUUUGAAGACCUCCAAGGAGGAGACCACAACCUCUCCGGGCAGCCCAUGCCAGCGCUCCCUCACCUGCACAGCUAAGAAGCACUUCCUGAUGUACUUGUGACCAACCCUGUGCUGUGGCACAAAGCUGUCCCAAGGUACGUGCUCUCUGCCCUCCAGCACCUUGCUGGAGGCGUGGAGGACGUUGGAGCUUUUGCCACUUUCCUCCCCAUCACUGUGGAUGUGUGAGCAUCAGGGCGGUCAUGCAAGGAGGAAGAAUGGCACACAGGAAGCUGAAAGUCCCCGUCCCGGAUGGCAGCAGCAAAAAUGGUACAGACAGGACCUCUCAGUCCCCUCAUCAUCAAACUGCCUGCUGAGUAGGAUUUGAAUGAGACAGUAGUACAGGUAUGGAGAAGGAUGAAUGUACCCUUUUGCACUUGUCUGCCAAGAGAAAAUAAAAAACAUUCAAGGAAUAUGAGAAAUAUAUAUAUAUUUCA
Molecule: long non-coding RNA, 5551 nt
Organism: Cygnus olor (mute swan)
Lineage: Eukaryota; Metazoa; Chordata; Aves; Anseriformes; Anatidae
Exons: 8
Source: RefSeq, a predicted model, not a curated record